GCUCCGGUAGCCUAGUGGUUAGAGCUUUCGCCUUAGAUGUGGAGGGUCGUGAUUUCGAACACCGACCGAAACA
This is a non-coding RNA of Potamilus streckersoni, 73 nucleotides long. NCBI's taxonomy places the organism in Eukaryota, Metazoa, Mollusca, Bivalvia, Unionida, Unionidae. The record is from the annotation of a GenBank genome assembly.